CCCAUGGGUUGAAACAACAGUCCAUGGAAUGGAUUUGAAAGAUGCAGUGAAGGCCGGCUUCGAGCGACUUUUCAAAUAUUCACAGUUCAACAACGAUAAUGGGCAUUUGAUGAAAGUGAUGGCAGUAACCUUAGCAGCGAACAAUAUGAAGGCCGAGUGUUCCAACUGAUGAAGGCUUUGGAAGCAGACAACAGACCCUUUGACAAAAGUGUCUUUUACAUUGGUUGGUUUAAUGGACAGAGGCUAAUGGAAGUUGCCUUUCAAAAGGAAAUUUGAAAUUGUUCUGAUUCGGUCAGACAUCAAACAGUGAGGUGUGCUUAUUUCUAUUGUAUGGUUCUAAACAUUUUGAUCGCCCAUCGAGCACAUAUUGGAUUCAGUCUGUGUAUGUGUCAGUACUUGGUGUUUGAACAACUCCCCUCAUCUCCUCUUUUCAGACCCCGAUGGCCCUGUUAAUAAACACUGCCCUCCACCAGCAGUGAGAAGGAUUUGUCGCCAACCCACACUGCCUCAUUUUGACAUGGUGAGUUUUAUUCAGCUCUCUUAACUUCGACAGUCACGCGGGUUUUGCUCUUUCUGAAAUUGUUCUAAAUUCAGUAUUCAUAUUUUUUAAGUCUAAUUAUUUUAAGAAGCUUCUCUCUUGUGUGAGUUCAGUUCAAAGUGUGACAACAUAAUCCUGCGGAGGGAGAUCUUGAUUCACAUGGGGGACUGCGGUCCUGUCAUUACCCAAUUGAAAUAAAUUGCAUAGAAGACAAGGGUAAGGAAGUGACAGUGAAUUUUCUAAAGCAAUGGUGUGGCUUCAAAUAAUGUACUGCAUUCAUUUAUAAUGCAUGGAUUUGCAGAAGAGUGGAAAGGGUUUAGUGAUUCCUCUGAUGAUAUGACCUAAAAGUCUCCAUACUGCACAAAUACGUCAGACUAAUCCCAAUUGUACAUGGGUGGGAGAUCCUCUAUUGGGUGACAGGGAUUCAUGUAUUCAGCAAUUUUUCUUUUCGUUUGCUUGCUUUCAAUAAAUUGGCUCCAAACUGA
This is a long non-coding RNA of Stegostoma tigrinum, 1023 nucleotides long. RefSeq lists it as uncharacterized. The record is from RefSeq and is a predicted model, not a curated record. The transcript has 2 exons. NCBI's taxonomy places the organism in Eukaryota, Metazoa, Chordata, Chondrichthyes, Orectolobiformes, Stegostomatidae.